GUUUUAGUAUAAGUAUGUCCCAUUCAAUAUCUGGGACAUACUUAUACUAAAA
Molecule: non-coding RNA, 52 nt
Organism: Myotis lucifugus (little brown bat)
Lineage: Eukaryota; Metazoa; Chordata; Mammalia; Chiroptera; Vespertilionidae
Source: Rfam